RNAcentral lists this ribosomal RNA (510 nucleotides) under Sanguinoderma elmerianum. RNAcentral's name for it is "SSU rRNA". It matches the Rfam family "Bacterial small subunit ribosomal RNA", at positions 407 to 948 of the family's 1533-position model. Lineage: Eukaryota; Fungi; Basidiomycota; Agaricomycetes; Polyporales; Polyporaceae. The record is from RNAcentral.
UCAUAGUAUUUCUCUUUAUUCAUCAUGUCGUAAGGGAAAAUAAUGAUAUUACCUUACUAUAAGUGUCGUCCAAACCUGGUGCCAGAAGACUCGGUAAGACCAGAGACGCAAACGUUAAUCAUCUUAAACAGGCGUAAAGGGUUUGUAGGCAGCUUUCAUAAUAUUAUUUCUUACAAAAAUAAAGAAGUGGUCUGAUUGAAAGCUAGAAUCAAAAAGAGGUUAUAGUGUAUAACGCCUAGAGGAGGGCUGAUAUCCUUAGAUCCUAGGCAGAAUACUUAGGGCGAAGGCCACUCUCCACUAAUGAUUGACGCUGAGAAACGAAGGUAAGGGUAGGAAAUAGGAUUAGAUACCCCGGUACUCCUUUCUGUAAACGAUGAAUGGUAGUCAUUAGUAAAAUUAACUAGAGACGAAGUUAACACAAUAACCAUUCCGCCUUGUGAGUACUACUGCAAAGUAGAAAACAAAAAAAUUAGUCGGUCUCGAAGCAAACGGAGUGAAGCAUGUUAUUUA